UAGUUGAAGUAAGGAUCGAACUCGUGGAUCACGCUCUCGUACUUGAUAACAGAGAAGAGGCGGAUCGAGAACGCGAGGACGCCGAUGAGGAGCAGGAUGAGAAGGCAGAACAGGUUGCCGUAGGCGGCGCGCUGGCUGCCGGGACUGGCGUCGGCGGCGGCCGCCAUUGCCGGCGAGAUCAAGUCGCUGAUGUCUGGGCGGGGAGGGGAAACGAGAGAUGGGAAUCGG
Molecule: unclassified non-coding RNA, 228 nt
Filed under: Hevea brasiliensis (rubber tree)
Lineage: Eukaryota; Viridiplantae; Streptophyta; Magnoliopsida; Malpighiales; Euphorbiaceae
Source: RNAcentral